AAAACGACUCUCGGCAACGGAUAUCUCGGCUCACGCAUCGAUGAAGAACGUAGCAAAAUGCGAUACUUGGUGUGAAUUGCAGAAUCCCGUGAACCAUGAACGCAAGUUGCGCCCGAAGCCAUUCGGCCGAGGGCACAUCUGUCUGGGCGUCACGC
This 155-nucleotide ribosomal RNA is filed under the name Duhaldea nervosa. RNAcentral describes it as "5.8S ribosomal RNA". It matches the Rfam family "5.8S ribosomal RNA". From Rfam's summary of the family: 5.8S ribosomal RNA (5.8S rRNA) is a component of the large subunit of the eukaryotic ribosome. It is transcribed by RNA polymerase I as part of the 45S precursor that also contains 18S and 28S rRNA. Functionally, it is thought that 5.8S rRNA may be involved in ribosome translocation. The record is from RNAcentral. Lineage: Eukaryota; Viridiplantae; Streptophyta; Magnoliopsida; Asterales; Asteraceae.